AUAUCUUUUCGAAUUUGAGUUCCCUCCAGCCCAGGAGUGGGAUUGCUGUAUUGUAUGGAACCUGAAGAAAAGUUUACAGUCUGCUAGCAUUGUAAGAUAUUCAGUCCCACCUAGGCUGUUGACUGCAACCAUCACUGAACCACACUUUUAAACAACGUUUGCAGAGUAUCUCCUACCCAUAGAUAGAGACCUGGAUACUGGACAAUGUAGAGAUGAAUAAAUUGUUUUCCAAGAUUCUCAGAGCUCAAGUGAAGAUGAUUUCAGGUCUGUAUGAGCAUGUGGUCCAGAAAAAGGGUGUGAAGAGGAGAAAGCAGGAAUGUGAUCCUUAAGCAGAUGGGGAUUUGAGCAAAUGUGACUGUCAGGGAAGAGCUGGGUGAAUAAAAUGAUGUAACAGAUGGUGCACUAUGAACAUACACAGCGGCAGAUAUUACUAAUGCACUACCUGAGAACUCCAGGUGGCUUUAUCUAUGGUUUUCAGGCCUGCAUCUAGAAUAGAAGCUCUCAGAUACGUAUUUACAAAGCAUUAAGCUUAACGGUUUAUCCUAACUUGAGAGUUUCACCAUGCCAUGGUUUUAGUCUUAGAAACUUUGACCUAAAUUAUCAAUUUUAAUAUACCCUGCAACCU
This is a non-coding RNA of Vicugna pacos (alpaca), 625 nucleotides long. NCBI's taxonomy places the organism in Eukaryota, Metazoa, Chordata, Mammalia, Artiodactyla, Camelidae. The record is from RefSeq and is a predicted model, not a curated record.